RNAcentral lists this ribosomal RNA (217 nucleotides) under uncultured bacterium. RNAcentral describes it as "partial 16S ribosomal RNA". It matches the Rfam family "Bacterial small subunit ribosomal RNA", at positions 122 to 334 of the family's 1533-position model. The record is from RNAcentral.
UAACCUGCCUCUUAGCGGGGGAUAACUAUUGGAAACGAUAGCUAAUACCGCAUAAAAGUCGACAUUGCAUGAUGUUGACCUGAAAGGUGCAAUUGCAUCACUAAGAGAUGGACCUGCGUUGUAUUAGCUAGUUGGUGAGGUAACGGCUCACCAAGGCGACGAUACAUAGCCGACCUGAGAGGGUGAUCGGCCACACUGGGACUGAGACACGGCCCAG